RNAcentral lists this ribosomal RNA (253 nucleotides) under uncultured bacterium. RNAcentral describes it as "partial 16S ribosomal RNA". It matches the Rfam family "Bacterial small subunit ribosomal RNA", at positions 524 to 776 of the family's 1533-position model. The record is from RNAcentral.
UACGUAGGUGGCAAGCGUUGUCCGGAUUUACUGGGUGUAAAGGGCGUGUAGCCGGGCUGACAAGUCAGAUGUGAAAUUCCGGGGCUCAACCCCGGACCUGCAUUUGAAACUGUUGGUCUUGAGUAUCGGAGAGGCAGGCGGAAUUCCUAGUGUAGCGGUGAAAUGCGUAGAUAUUAGGAGGAACACCAGUGGCGAAGGCGGCCUGCUGGACGACAACUGACGGUGAGGCGCGAAAGCGUGGGGAGCAAACAGG